GUCUACGGCCAUACCACCCUGAACGCGCCCGAUCUCGUCUGAUCUCGGAAGCUAAGCAGGGUCGGGCCUGGUUAGUACUUGGAUGGGAGAGUCACAGCUGCAGUGACCC
This 109-nucleotide ribosomal RNA is filed under the name Mus musculus (house mouse). The record is from RNAcentral. Lineage: Eukaryota; Metazoa; Chordata; Mammalia; Rodentia; Muridae.